Molecule: ribosomal RNA, 253 nt
Filed under: uncultured bacterium
Lineage: Bacteria
Description: partial 16S ribosomal RNA
Rfam family: Bacterial small subunit ribosomal RNA
Source: RNAcentral
GACGUAGGGGGCCAGCGUUGUUCGGAAUUACUGGGUGUAAAGGGUUCGUAGGCGGUGCGGCAAGUCGGGAGUGAAAUCUCUGGGCUUAACCCAGAGGCUGCUUCCGAAACUGCUGUGCUUGAGUGUGGGAGAGGCGCGUGGAAUUGCAGGUGUAGCGGUGAAAUGCGUAGAUAUCGGGAGGAACACCAGUAGCGAAGGCGGCACUCUGGGCCGGUACUGACGCUGAGGAGCGAAAGCGUGGGGAGCAAACAGG